GACGAACGCUGGCGGCGUGCUUAACACAUGCAAGUCGAGCGGAGCGGCGAACGGGUGAGUAACGCGUGAGUAACUGCACCCCUCUCUGGGAUAAAAGUUGGAAACGGCUGCUAAUACCGGAUAGUGGGGGAUGACUCGCGUCCUAUCAGCUUGUUGGUCGUGUAGUGGCCUACCAAGGCGACGACGGGUAGCCGGCCGUAGAGGGCGACCGGCCGCAUUGGUCUGAGGUACGGCCCAAGCUCCUACGGGGGGCAGCAGUGGGGAAUAUUGCACAAUGGGGGAAGCCCUGAUGCAGCAACGCCGCGUGCGGGAUGACGGCCUUCGGGUUGUAAACCGCUUUCAGCCAUGACGCGGUAGUGGCAGAAGAAGCACCGGCUAACUACGUGCCAGCCGCCGCGGUAAUUC
This 405-nucleotide ribosomal RNA is filed under the name uncultured bacterium. Its description in RNAcentral is "partial 16S ribosomal RNA". It matches the Rfam family "Bacterial small subunit ribosomal RNA", at positions 28 to 526 of the family's 1533-position model. The record is from RNAcentral.